CGCUGGCGGCGUGCCUAAUACAUGCAAGUCGAGCGAACGGACGAGAAGCUUGCUUCUCUGAUGUUAGCGGCGGACGGGUGAGUAACACGUGGAUAACCUACCUAUAAGACUGGGAUAACUUCGGGAAACCGGAGCUAAUACCGGAUAAUAUUUUGAACCGCAUGGUUCAAAAGUGAAAGGCGGUCUUGCUGUCACUUAUAGAUGGAUCCGCGCUGCAUUAGCUAGUUGGUAAGGUAGCGGCUUACCUAGGCAACGAUGCAUAGCCGACCUGAGAGGGUGAUCGGCCACACUGGAACUGAGACACGAUCCAGACUCCUACGGGAGGCAGCAGUAGGGAAUCUUCCGCAAUGGGCGAAAGCCUGACGGAGCAACGCCGCGUGAGUGAUGAAGGUCUUCGGAUCGUAAAACUCUGUUAUUAGGGAAGAACAUAUGUGUAAGUAACUGUGCACAUCUUGACGGUACCUAAUCAGAAAGCCACGGCUAACUACGUGCCAGCAGCCGCGGUAAUACGUAGGUGGCAAGCGUUAUCCGGAAUUAUUGGGCGUAAAGCGCGCGUAGGCGGUUUUUUAAGCCUGAUGUGAAAGCCCACGGCUCAACCGUGGAGGGUCAUUGGAAACUGGAAAACUUGAGUGCAGAAGAGGAAAGUGGAAUUCCAUGUGUAGCGGUGAAAUGCGCAGAGAUAUGGAGGAACACCAGUGGCGAAGGCGACUUUCUGGUCUGUAACUGACGCUGAUGUGCGAAAGCG
Molecule: ribosomal RNA, 745 nt
Filed under: uncultured bacterium
Lineage: Bacteria
Description: bacterial SSU rRNA
Rfam family: Bacterial small subunit ribosomal RNA
Source: RNAcentral